UACGGAGGAUGCGAGCGUUAUCCGGAUUUAUUGGGUUUAAAGGGUGCGUAGGCGGACGCUUAAGUCAGCGGUAAAAUUGCGGGGCUCAACCUCGUCGAGCCGUUGAAACUGGGUGUCUUGAGUGGGCGAGAAGUACGCGGAAUGCGUGGUGUAGCGGUGAAAUGCAUAGAUAUCACGCAGAACUCUGAUUGCGAAGGCAGCGUACCGGCGCCCAACUGACGCUGAAGCACGAAGGCGUGGGUAUCGAACAGG
Molecule: ribosomal RNA, 252 nt
Filed under: uncultured bacterium
Lineage: Bacteria
Description: partial 16S ribosomal RNA
Rfam family: Bacterial small subunit ribosomal RNA
Source: RNAcentral